CAGGUCGGUCGGGCGAUCGCGGGAAGCUGCCUGGCAGCUUCUCGAGGAAAGUCCGCACUCCACAGAGCACGGCGCCGGGUAACACCCGGGGCGGGGGCCGGUUCGCCGGUUACCUGCCGGAUCGGGCCACAGAAACAGGCUGCCGGAGCAAUUCGGUCAUGGUGAAAAGGUGGUGUAAGAGACCACCGGCGCGCCCAGCAAUGGGCUCGGCCAGGCAACCCCUGCCGGGAGCAAGGUCAAACAGGGACAACGAGGCGGCUCGUCUCAAAGCUUCUUCGGAAGCGGGAGUUCCGGGUAGGCUGCUAGAGCCAUGCGGCGACGUAUGGCCCAGAUAGAUGAUCGCCGGGCGAAGAUUCCCCUUCGCUCACAGAAUGCGGCUUAUAGACUGGCCUGGGUA
Molecule: RNase P RNA, 397 nt
Filed under: Anaerolineales bacterium
Lineage: Bacteria; Bacillati; Chloroflexota; Anaerolineae; Anaerolineales
Description: RNase P RNA component class A
Rfam family: Bacterial RNase P class A
About the family: Ribonuclease P (RNase P) is a ubiquitous endoribonuclease, found in archaea, bacteria and eukarya as well as chloroplasts and mitochondria. Its best characterised activity is the generation of mature 5'-ends of tRNAs by cleaving the 5'-leader elements of precursor-tRNAs.
Source: RNAcentral